RNAcentral lists this transfer RNA (64 nucleotides) under Episymploce forficula. Its description in RNAcentral is "tRNA-His". Lineage: Eukaryota; Metazoa; Arthropoda; Insecta; Blattodea; Blattellidae. The record is from RNAcentral.
ACUUAAGUAGUUUAUGUAAAAUAUUGAUUUGUGGUGUCAAUGAAAUAAUUAUUUAUCUUAGGUU